RNAcentral lists this ribosomal RNA (558 nucleotides) under Exophiala sp. ASR-153. Its description in RNAcentral is "eukaryotic LSU rRNA". The stretch from base 221 to 375 matches the Rfam family "5.8S ribosomal RNA". Lineage: Eukaryota; Fungi; Ascomycota; Eurotiomycetes; Chaetothyriales; Herpotrichiellaceae. The record is from RNAcentral.
GUAGGUGAACCUGCGGAGGGAUUCAUUACCGAGUUAGGGUCCUCACAGGCCCGACCUCCCAACCCAUUGUUUAUGAUACUCAGUGUUGCUUCGGCAGGCCUGGUCUUUGACCUGCCGGAGGGCCGUAACACGCCCCCCGGAGAGCGCCUGCCGACGGCCCCAACUUCAAAAUUCUUAACUAAACAUGUCUUUGUCUAAGUAAAGUCUUUAAUAAAAGCAAAACUUUCAACAACGGAUCUCUUGGUUCUGGCAUCGAUGAAGAACGCAGCGAAAUGCGAUAAGUAAUGCGAAUUGCAGAAUUCUCGUGAGUCAUCGAAUCUUUGAACGCACAUUGCGCCCUUUGGUAUUCCGAAGGGCAUGCCUGUUCGAGCGUCAUUUUCACCCCUCAAGCCCCCGGCUUGGUGUUGGACGGUUUGGUCCCGGGACCCCCCUGGACCCCUCCCAAAGACAAUGACGGCGGGCUGUCGCACCCCCGGUACACUGAGCAUCUUCACGGAGCACGUACCGGUCUUCAGGGACGACGGCACCCCGGUCUCACACCUAUAUCUUUCAAGGUUG